RNAcentral lists this ribosomal RNA (253 nucleotides) under uncultured bacterium. RNAcentral describes it as "partial 16S ribosomal RNA". It matches the Rfam family "Bacterial small subunit ribosomal RNA", at positions 524 to 776 of the family's 1533-position model. The record is from RNAcentral.
UACGUAGGGUGCGAGCGUUGUCCGGAAUUAUUGGGCGUAAAGAGCUCGUAGGCGGUCUGUCGCGUCGAAUGUGAAAACCCGGGGCUCAACUCCGGGCUUGCAGCCGAUACGGGCAGACUAGAGUUCGGCAGGGGAGACUGGAAUUCCUGGUGUAGCGGUGAAAUGCGCAGAUAUCAGGAGGAACACCGGUGGCGAAGGCGGGUCUCUGGGCAAUAACUGACGCUGAGGAGCGAAAGCGUGGGGAGCGAACAGG